UACCGAGGUCAAAGCUCCUCGUUUCGGUCUGAUCUUGUCAUAUUUCAGAAGCUAAGCAGGACUGGGCUUGGUUAGUACUUGGAUGGGAGACCUAUGUGUAUACCAGGUACCACAGUAG
This 118-nucleotide ribosomal RNA is filed under the name Periophthalmus magnuspinnatus. The record is from RNAcentral. Lineage: Eukaryota; Metazoa; Chordata; Actinopteri; Gobiiformes; Gobiidae.